UUAAUAAAGCAAGGCACUGAAAAUGCCAAGAUGAGUCGCACGACUCCAUAAACA
This 54-nucleotide transfer RNA is filed under the name Canis lupus (wolf). Its description in RNAcentral is "partial tRNA-Phe". Lineage: Eukaryota; Metazoa; Chordata; Mammalia; Carnivora; Canidae. RNAcentral also lists the same sequence under 1 other name. The record is from RNAcentral.